UGUCUCUAAGUCUCUUCACCAAGGUUGUAUCUUGUGAAGAUGAAUUGGAUGACUAAGGGAAGAAAAGAUUGCUAGAUGUCCCUCCCCUUAGUGGCCGGCCUCCUUAGAAGAAAAUGGAGAAAAUGUUUCACCCAAUUUCAACAAGAAAAACCCUAAUUAGAAAAUAGCUAUAAAGUUGCUUUUAUAACCUUUUCUUUGGUGAGUGGCAAACUUGUAAUAAAGCAAACUUUGCCCAUUCACCCUAAUGGCCGGCCAUCCUUUGUUAUUGGGCUAAUUUGCCCAUUUUGUUUUAGUUGUCAUACAACUUAAACAUAAUGGGCCUUGUGGACCAAAACGCUUUUGGGCCCCGAAACCCAAAACCAACAUAUAAGCCCAAUACGAACCUUUCGUAUAAUUAACUAACUAAUUAAUUAAUCUUGACCAUUCUUCAAUUAAACCAUUUAAUUGCUUAUCCAUUUCAUUUGAUUUCUUCACAUACAUCCUUACUCGGUGUACGAUCCAUUAGGUUCCAAUUAGCGAGGCAGUGGGCGAUGUUACUCUUAACUAUCGAUUUGUGAAUUGAAACCACAUUUCAAUUCUCCCUUUAAUGAUUAGUGUUACCUAAUCAUUUGGGCUUCCACAAACCAUGAGUGACACCUAGCAGUAUGUCAUGGUUACCCAAGCUAAGUAGAAUUGGUUGGAGAACCUAUCCAGUUACAACUACAAUGCAAUACGGUCCUUCUCUAAUACAAUACUCUUAAUCACAUUGUUUACGUGAUAGUUUGUUUCAUGUCUACUAUCCAAUGUGAUACUUUCCUAUAUGAUUCCCAUGAAUAUGAUUUGGAACAAACUUCCUAAGUCAUAUUCAUUUGCUUUGGCCAAAGACUUUAGAAUCAUAUCUUAGAGUACUCUCCCUCCACCAAGGAAGGUUAGAGAUCCCUUGUUGUGCAUUCAUAUGCCUACAUGACUAGAUAGCUUGACCCCAACAAUGCCGUGGACACUCCAAAGGAAUGCCGUUGACAGGAUCAAAGAUCAAGGACCUAACCAUUAGACAUCGAUGAUGCCUCAGGUCAAAGGACUACUUUGCAUAUUGUAACUUUAGAGUUCAUACAUGACAUGUAUGUUCGAACUCUCUUUUGAUCGUAGUUCAGUGUACUCGAUUACUCUUUCGAGCACCUAUGUGUUUGUCUUAGUGUCCAACACCAAAUGACUUGAGACUAGUCAUACUCACGCUUGAGUCAACACAACACAUACUAACCUUAGCGGAUUGUCAAUGCCCAAUUGGCAAUCCUAUGGCUAGGAACGUUUUAGGAAUGAACAUAAGAGAAAGGUCUCGAUAAUCUAACUCACUUAGAUCACUUAUCUCUUAGAACAAAUACAUUCCUUGGAUUCUCUUAUUGCUUAAACACAUGAUACAAUAAAUAGUGAUUAACAAUAAGAUUUGCCCUUCAUUAAACAUAUAAAAGUUUAAUACAUUAAGUAUUCCAAAAAGCUAUUACAUCAAAUGAGUGGCUUUGUGGGCAUACUUCCAACAAUCUCCCACUUGCACUCAAAGCCACCUUCCCAUGUAUCUAAUACCCAUCUUUUCCAUAUGACGGUCAAGCUGGAUCUGAGACAUUGGCUUUGUCAGUGGAUCUGCUACGUUAUCGGCUGAAGCAACUUUGAGGAUGUUGAUUUUCCCCUCGGCAGCAUAUCUUCUAAUGAUAUUAAAGCGUCUGUCAAUAUGCUUGUUCUUUUGAUGUGCCCUGGGUUCCUUGGCUUGAGCUAUCGCCCCACUAUUAUCACAAUACAAAGUUACUGGUGAUGUAAUGGUUGGAACCACCCCAAGUUCAGUGAUGAACUUCUUCAUCCAGAACGCUUCUUUGCCGGCUUCAGCUGCAGCGACAUAUUCAGCCUCUGUCGUGGAAUCAGCAAUUACACUUUGCUUCUUGCUUUUCCAACUGACAGCCCCACCAUUCUGAGUGAAUACAUAUCCGGAGUUGGAACUUCUAUCAUCGACGUCAGAUUGGAAAUCUGCGUCUGUAUAGCCUUCCACUCGCAACUCUGAUGCUCCUCUAUACACGAGGAACAUGUCCUUAGUUCUUCUUAAGUACUUAAGGACCGUCUUGACAGCUCCCCAGUGUUCUGAUCCUGGGUUAGAUUGAUAUCGACUAGUAAUGCUCACAGCAUAUGCAAUAUCUGGCCUUGUGCAUAUCAUGGCAUACAUGAGACUUCCUAUGGCUGAAGCAUAAGGAAUACAACUCAUUUGCCGUAUCUCUUUAGGAGUUUUAGGGUCCAUGGAUUUAGAAAGGUGAAUUCCAUGUCCAACAGGAAGAAAACCUUUCUUAGAUUGUUCCAUCUGGAACCUACUUAGCACCUUAUCAAUGUACAUAGAUUGGGAUAAUCCAAUUAAUUUUCUGGAUCUAUCACGAUAGAGCUUUAUCCCAAGUACAUAAGAUGCAUCUCCCAAAUCUUUCAUGUGGAAGGUUUUGGACAACCACACUUUUACAGAAGAAAGUACUGCAGUGUCAUUCCCGAAUAGUAAUAUGUCAUCUACAUAUAACACUAGGAAUACAACUGCAUCCCCAACGACCUUUUGAUAAACACAAUUGUCGUCUUCGUUUUGAGUAAAACCAAACGUUUUGAUCUCAUUGUCGAAACGAAUGUUCCAGCUCCUGGAGGCUUGCUUAAGUCCAUAAAUGGACCUUUGAAGCUUGCAUACCUUAGUCUUUUCAGACUUGGACACGAAACCCUCGGGUUGAGUCAUAUAGAGCUCUUCCUCUAGGUAGCCGUUCAGAAAGGCCAUCUUCACGUCCAUUUGCCAUAUCUCAUAAUCAUGGUACGCAGCUAUCGCAAGCAAAAUCCGAAUGGACUUAAUCAUGGCUACAGGAGAGAAGGUUUCUUCAUAGUCAAUCCCUUCUCUUUGCCUGUAACCCUUGGCUACUAGUCUAGCCUUAUAAGUCUCCACGUUCCCAUCAACGCCUAUCUUCCUCUUGAAGACCCAUUUGUUUCCAACAGGUACAAUACCUUCUGGAGGGUCUACAAGAGUCCAGACCUGAUUUUGAUACAUGGAAUCCAUCUCGGAUUUCAUGGCCUCUUGCCAUCUCUUUGAAUCAAUGUUGGACAUUGCUUCAGUGUAGUCUCUAGGGUCCUCCUUUGUUUCAUUGUCACCUAGAAGGUACAAUUCAUCAAAGUCAUUGUCUAAGCCAUACCUCUUAGGUGGCUUACUAACCCUUUCAGAUCUACGUGGAGCUAGGGAUUCAGGAACAGGGUUGUCAACUUGUCGAGUGCUUGUUUGUGGUUCAUCAUUAAUCUCAUUAAUUUCUUUCAAUUCUAUCUUGCUAGUUCCUUUAAGAACGAAUUCAUCUUCCAUGAAUAUAGCAGUUCUGGCGACAAAGACUUUCUGGUCGUCAGGGUGAUAGAAUUCGUAUCCAUAAGUCUGUUUAGGAUACCCCACAAAAUAGCAUUUAACGGAUCUCGCUUCAAGCUUUCCAGCAUCUUGUUUCUUAACAUAUGCUGGACAACCCCAAAUCUUAAGAUGUUUAAGACUUGGCUUCUUCCCAUACCAUAUCUCAUAUGGUGUUUGUGGAAACAGAUUUAGAGGGCACUGCAUUUUAGCAAUAAAGCUGCUGUGUGUAGUGCAUAUCCCCAGAAUGAUAUUGGUAGAUCAGCGGAACUCAUCAUAGAACGAACCAUGUUCAUUAAGGUUCGGUUUCUCCUCUCAGAAACUCCGUUAUGUUGAGGAGUUCCUGGUGGAGUCCACUGUGAUACAAUUCCACACUCUUUGAGAUAAUCUAGGAACUCGUUACUCAGAUAUUCACCGCCUCGAUCCGAUCUUAGGGUCUUUAUCUGUUUCCCAGUUUGCUUCUCAACUUCAUUCUUGAAUUCUUUGAACCUUUCAAAGGAUUCUGACUUGUACUUCAUAAGAUACACAUAGCCAAACCGAGAGUGAUCGUCGGUGAAUGUGAUAUAGUAGGAGAAGCCUCCUCUCGACGUAGUAGACAUAGGUCCACAAACGUCAGUGUGGAUUAACCCUAGAAUUUCAGUGGCACGCUCUCCUUUUCCAGUAAAUGGAGAUUUGGUCAUCUUCCCUUUUAAGCAACAUUCACAAGUACCCAUCCGGUCAUUACCUAAUGGGCGGAUAUAUCCGUCUUUUGACAUCUUGCGAAUCUUAUCAAGGUUCACAUGUCCAAGUUUAAGAUGCCACAUCUUUUCUUGGUUAACUUCUUCUCUAGCCCUUUUGGGUUUUGAGGUAUUCCCGCUUUCAAUACAGUGCGUCCCACUAUUCGUCUCUAGGUGAAAAAGUCCCUCUAUCAUAUUACCAUGAGAGAUAAUACGACCGUUAAAGUAUAAAGUGCAACUCAUUUUGUCAAACAAUACUGAGUGCCCAUCUCGUAAAAGCUUAGAGAUAGAAAUCAAAUUCUUUAUACAUGAAGGAAAAUAUAAACAAUUUUUAAGUUCCAGGACUUCCCCAGAGGGUAGGUUAAGCAUGUAGGUGCCUAUUGCUUUUGCAGAGAUUUUAGUGCCAUUCCCAACUCGCACAACCAUCUCCCCAUUGUGCAGUGACCUGCUCCCUGCUAGUCCCUGCAACGUAUUGCAGAUAUGUUGACUAGCGCCUGAAUCAAAUAUCCAGGAAUUGGAGCUCACUGUAAAAGCACUCUCUAUGACAGAAAUAGUCUCUUCAAAAGUUCGUGUCAUAAGGCUCGCAAUGCGCACCCUGUAUUUCUUUUUCCAACGUUCAUCCUUUCCACAAUGAAAGCAUGUUCCUUUGGAUUUCUUUGCCUUCUUCUUAUGCAACCUUUUCCUUAUGUUUGCAUUCUCACUCCCACUGUCCAUUUUGAAACCUUUUUCAAAUCUACAGCACAUGUCAAUCAUCUCUUUCAAAGAAUGAUCGAAUCUAUUCACUUUAUAGUUUACAAUAAACUUAGUGAAAUCAUCCGAGAGAGAUGCAAGGAAAAAGUCUUGGGCCAUUUUCCCAUCGAUGGAAGUUCCUAAACUUUUAAGAUCUUUAAAUAUCUUUUCCAUCUUUUGUCCAUGUUUAUGGACCGAUGCCCCCUUUGCCAUCUUGGCAUUCAUUAGACUACAAACAUUUGAGAAUCGUACAUUACUAGUCUCAAUGUCAUGCAUCUUAUGCAAACUUUCAACCAUGGCACAAGAAGUGUCCAUGUGCUUAUGUAGCUUCAUAAGCUCCUCACUAAGUGAAGUAAGGAUUAAGCAUUUGGCUUGUAAGUCAUCCUCAUAGUAUCUAACAUAAUUUUGACACUCCUCCUUUGAAGCUAGUUUCGUAGGAGGUACAUGAGGAGGGGAUUGCUUAAGCACAUACAAUAUGUCUUUCACCUUUGAGACAUUCUCAAUAUGGCGAUGCCAAGCAAGGAAACGUUGGCCCUUAAGGCCACUUUUGUCAAGUAUAAUGGUGGGUAUAAUUUUAGGCAUGUCGUUCACUACAUAACAUAACAGAAAUCGUAUUAGAUUGUUUGUUUAAAACUAUUUGAUUGGGUCUUUGAAUCAAAUAGUACCACCCACUAUUUUUGGCAAAUUCCACAUCCCUCAAUAGAAUUCGAGAGUUAUAUUGAACUCUUAGCGGGUUAUGGGAGACUCACCAUUACCAAGCCCACCUCAGAAUUAUAUCAUGUUGGUUAGCAAAAAUAAUGAUGAGAGAAUAACGCAUUAUUCAUUUACAACUCUUGUAAUUACCCAUCUUGUUUGGCCUCUAGAGAAUGAUUACCUCAGAAUUAUAUCAUGUUGGCACCAUUGCACUUAGUUAAGUCAUUCCCACCAUGCUUAGUUUAUGUAGAGGUUCAAGCACAACCUCAGAAUUAUAUCAUGUUGGUCAUACUCGUUGUCUACACUCACCUCAUCAUAUGUUUAUGGGUUCCUCCUGGAUGUAAGCACAUACUUUGUACUUCCCCAUUAUAGGGUGAAGCCGGUGCAUGAGUCACAAACGAUUGGAUCCCACCACGGUGGAAGGCCUACGAAGAGAUGUUCAAAGCAUCUCUCGCUUAUCAACUUAAUAUUCGUUUUGAGGGAGUAGUUUUGGGCUACAUCAAAACAUUUUAAUCAUAUUAAAAGAACUUGGGCCUAUCAUAACUAUUGGUCCAAGUUAAUAUGAAUUAGUAGCAUAUAAUACUCCCACUGUUUCGUUGAAACAGCGAGACUAUAUGGAACUACUAACGAAUGCAUUGCAUCGUCAUAUGGACUAUAUAGUCAUAUUAGGUUUUAGGAUGAUUAUGAACCGUUUGAUUUGAUCCAACACGAGCCUUGUGUUGGACCUUGGGUUUAAGGUAGAUAGUUGUUGAUUUUAGUUACGCGUUUAAUCCAAUUAAACCGUUAUUUCCUAUUGGGCGUUGGACCCAACUAUUCCAUUUUGCAUACAUAUAAACAAAAAGGAAUACAUGAAAUAAUAAUAAGGGCUUAUGCCCUUUUACAACAUAAAUCAAAUGAUGGACUUAUGUCCAUUUACAACAAAUUGAAUUAAUCAAAUUACAUUCAAAUCUACACUACCAAACCCAAACAUUCAUAAUGUAAAGCGGCCAAUCACAUAGCUCAAUUAUCGUGGCCUUUGGUUCAUAAUCACCCUUUUCUUAAUCAACACAUUAACUAAGAAAGCAACUUUAAACAAUUGGUUUUUGGAUCCAUAGAAUUGAUUUAAAUGGAACUAAAUAGAAUGAAAAUCCAAUUCUCAUUAAAGAGACAAAACAAUUUUGUUCUCAUUUUAUUUGGGCCAAAAGGAAACUAUGACCACAACAAUUGGGCCAUAAUGCAAAUACAAAAACUUUUGGGGUCACUUUGUAAAAACACAAUAGUCCACAACUUCAUGUAAUUACAACUAGAUCCCAAAAUUUUAUUAAUGUAAUAACAUCAUUAAAGGAUCAAAACAAUUCGUCCCUUAGCGUUUUAGGGCCUUAACGUAAAAACGUAAACUUUUGGGCCAAAGUGCAAAUACACAAAAGUAUCAAAACUUUAUGUAAUUGCAUAAAAGACCCCAAAAGUACCCCCACUAGGGGGUGGCCGGUUUUUAGAGAGGUAAAGUAGUGUGAAAGGGUUUUAUGCAAGUUGUGCAUGCAUGUGCAAUAUGCAAGUUGAUUUUGGUGGGUGAUGUGAAAUUGAUGGUUUGUAAGAAAAUGUUUUGUAAAACAUUUAUGAGUUUUGACAAACAUUAAAUCCAAUUUUAAUGCUUCACCAAUAUCCAUCACCCAUCAAAAUUAAACCAAAACUUUAUGAAAAACAUAAAACUUUUGAAUCAAAACUUCAAACCUUUUUGUUCUUGGCAAGAACUUCAAGAACAUUUGAAGAACACCAUGAAAACUCAUAAUAGCUCCAUGGAUGUUUUCAUUCACCAAAACUCAAAUUUUCACCUCUCAAAAGAGGGCUAAUAUCCUAGGGUACUUAGGGGUUCCAAAAGUCACCUUAAAACCAUUUUAACAAGACAAACAUGAACCCAAAAAAUCACCCUAGGGAUUUGGCCGAAUUUCCCAAAACUCAUGGCACCAAAUUUUAGUUCCAAUAUUCAUGCUUAAAUGAAAUACAUCUACAACAUUUGAGAUGCUAAAUUUUCUAGCAAAAUUUUUAUAUUUCAAAAGCAAGAACAAAGCUUGUAACAUUUACAACAUUUAAAUCACAAAAUAUGAACAUCACAAAACCCAAAAGGAUUCACCAUACACUAGGCCUAGGCUCUGAUACCACUUGAAGGAAAAAUAUUGUCCUAGCUAAGAACAAGUAUGAACAUUUGAAUACACAUGCAAGCUAUUAACACUUUAAAGUAGGCAUGCAUCCAAAAACAAUUCAUAAAACCCAUGACUUUCAAAGCCUAGUAUAUGGUGAACCAAAAUAAACUCUUUAACAACAUUAAAGAGAAGUAAAGAUUUAGUGAUUCUUUACCCUUGAAGCUCAUCCUUGAUUACACAAGGGAUUCACCCAAGUGGAGGGCCUUCAAGUCACCUCCAAGCUCCUUGAAUCCUCCUUGUGUUUUCCUCCCUUUAGUGCUCCUUUGAUGAUUUGAGGAAAAAGGAUUUGUUUUCUCCAAAACACCAAAAGCUUGAUGUCUCUAAGUCUCUUCACCAAGGUUGUAUCUUGUGAAGAUGAAUUGGAUGACUAAGGGAAGAAAAGAUUGCUAGAUGUCCCUCCCCUUAGUGGCCGGCCUCCUUAGAAGAAAAUGGAGAAAAUGUUUCACCCAAUUUCAACAAGAAAAACCCUAAUUAGAAAAUAGCUAUAAAGUUGCUUUUAUAACCUUUUCUUUGGUGAGUGGCAAACUUGUAAUAAAGCAAACUUUGCCCAUUCACCCUAAUGGCCGGCCAUCCUUUGUUAUUGGGCUAAUUUGCCUAUUUUGUUUUAGUUGUCAUACAACUUAAACAUAAUGGGCCUUGUGGACCAAAA
Molecule: long non-coding RNA, 8331 nt
Filed under: Malus domestica (apple)
Lineage: Eukaryota; Viridiplantae; Streptophyta; Magnoliopsida; Rosales; Rosaceae
Description: long non-coding RNA (MDOM_LNC013008)
Source: RNAcentral